UUAAUACUCCCUCCAUCCGGAAAUACUUAUUGCAGAAAUGGGUCAAAAUGGAUGUAUAUAAAACUAAAAUACAUCUAGAUACAUCCAUUUCUCAUAUAUGUAUUUCUGGAUGGAGGGAGUAUACA
Molecule: non-coding RNA, 125 nt
Organism: Triticum aestivum (bread wheat)
Lineage: Eukaryota; Viridiplantae; Streptophyta; Magnoliopsida; Poales; Poaceae
Source: Rfam